Molecule: non-coding RNA, 37 nt
Organism: Leptospira interrogans serovar Lai str. 56601
Lineage: Bacteria; Pseudomonadati; Spirochaetota; Leptospiria; Leptospirales; Leptospiraceae
Source: Rfam
CCUGAAUAUAACUUUGAUGCCGGUAGGCGUUGAGCAC